This is a non-coding RNA of Echinostoma caproni, 45 nucleotides long. NCBI's taxonomy places the organism in Eukaryota, Metazoa, Platyhelminthes, Trematoda, Plagiorchiida, Echinostomatidae. The record is from Rfam.
ACACUGCUGAUGAGACCCAAACAGGUCGUAACAGCUGUCUAGUGC